RNAcentral lists this ribosomal RNA (255 nucleotides) under uncultured bacterium. RNAcentral describes it as "partial 16S ribosomal RNA". It matches the Rfam family "Bacterial small subunit ribosomal RNA", at positions 524 to 776 of the family's 1533-position model. The record is from RNAcentral.
UACGGAGGGGGCUAGCGUUAUCCGGAAUUAUUGGGCGUAAAGGAUGCGUAGAUGGCGUAACAAGUUAUCGGUGGUAAAUUGGGGCCUAACCUCAUGGAAGCCGUUAAUACUAUUAUGCUAGAGUUAAGGAGAAGUUAAUGGAACUCCAUGUGAAGCGGUAAAAUGCGACGAUAUAUGGAAGAACAUCAAUAAGGCGAAGGCAAUUAACUAUCCUUUUACUGACAUUGAGGCAUGAAAGCGUGGGGAGCAAAACGG